UCCUUCAUACUUGAAAGUUUUCUCAAAAAAAGAGCAGCUUGGUUAUUGUAGUAACUAAAGCAACACGCUCGUGUAUUUUCGUGUUACCUAUAUACUGCAGUAGUAGUGCAUUUUUUUCUGUUGCAGUUAUCAGUUUUUUUGUUUCUUUACUACUAAAAUUACCUACGAGUAUUUAUGUAUAAUUUUUUGGCCAUCAAUCUGUAUGGGUUCAUUGAGUUUGCUCGAUAGACUGAUGAGUAUCAAGUAGCCAUAGCGUAUGCACAUUUGGUCUCUCUGUGUGUACAUUAUUCGUAACCAAGUAACAAUAAACACAACAAGAAUCACUCGUAUACAAUACUCCUUCGUGUAGUUGCAAUUCAAAUUUUCUAAUUCAGUUGAUUAUAUCAUGCCGCCGGGUUAUAACCUAGCAUAUCAUUCGUUGCCUGAUAAUAAUGUCUACAAAAGUACAACUAUUCCGGAAGCUAAGUCGAGCAUUUUAGAAUAUUUUAAAAAAGUUUUCAAUAACGCCAAUACUUCUUCGUCGCACUUUGCACCAUUGGCUAGGCGCUCUGAACCAUUAAUAAAUCCGGCUGCGAACACCAUAGCUACUAUCGUUACAAAUGACAGGAAAAUGCCAUCGUCUACAGUUUCUGAAGAAAUUAGAUUACUUAGACGCGGUAUGCCUGCCGACAUGCUGGACGAUAUAGAAUUACGAACGGUGCAAUUUCAAACGCCUUGCACAAGAUCGCUGAAUAGAGCAGAUCUCGAAGGCGUCGAAGAAGCCAUUGUAGAAACAGACCGAGGAACUUUACUAGUGGCGAUACAAGGAGAUAGAAGAAAGCCUGCCAUACUCACUUACCACGAUAUUGGACUUAAUUACGCAUCCAACUUUCAAGCAUUUUUUAAUUAUAGCGAAAUGAGAGUAUUGUUAGAUAAUUUUUCAGUUUUUCACGUGAAUGCGCCAGGACAAGAAGAAGGAGCUGCCACCUUACCAGAAAAUUACAUUUACCCAACGAUGGAUGAACUCGCAAAUCAAUUAAAUUUCGUAUUAUCGUAUUUCGGCCUGGAAAGCGUAAUCGGCUUGGGAGUAGGAGCAGGCGGAAAUAUCCUGGCGCGAUUUGCAUUCGCUCAACCAGAAAAGGUCGAGGCGUUAAUAUUAAUAAAUGUGGUAUCAACUGCGGCCGGCUGGAUCGAAUGGGGGUACCAAAAAUUAAACGCGAGGUAUUUAAAAUCCAAAGGAAUGACGCAAGGUGUAUUAGAUUACCUGAUGUGGCAUCAUUUUGGUCGAGGUACCGAGCAACGUAACUACGAUCUAGUCCAGGUGUACCGUAAUUAUUUUGAAAAAUGCGUGAAUCCGGUCAAUUUGGCCUUAUUUAUCGACAGCUACGUCAGAAGAAGUGAUUUAAAUAUUACCCGUGAUAUGGACACUACUCGCAGGAGAGAUAGCAACGCGACUUUAGCUAUGCCCAUUAUGAAUAUUACCGGCGCUUACUCGCCCCAUGUCGAUGAUACCGUCACCCUAAACGGUAGACUAGAUCCUACAAAUUCUUCUUGGAUGAAGAUUUCCGACUGUGGUAUGGUAUUGGAAGAACAACCUCAUAAAGUUUGCGAAGCUUUACGUUUAUUUUUACAAGGUUUAGGUUAUGAUAAUAACAAGUUAUGCUCAGUGAGGAAAGCCAAAUAAAUUACACACGUCGUUCAACUACUGUCAAAAAAGCCUCGCAACAUGCAGCGAUUAUGUGUGACUCGAUUUACGGUAAAAGUUGGCCGUCCAAAAUUUAUGUCAGCGUCAUCUCUCGAAGGUAAAUGUAGUUAGAAAUCAUGAUUCAGUCAAAAAUAAAACGCAUAUGCUUGGCUGUAUUACAUUAAUACAGCACCCGAUGUGCCCCUGUCGUUGCUUCUUCCCAGCUCAUUUGCCGCCGCUGCAAUCUUUUUCUUACCAAGAUGACAUUAAAAACGCAAUGUGGAUGCUUCGCAUAACAGAAAAUCCAAUUUCUAAAAUAGUUACUUGCUAAAAAAUGGCAAACAAUCGAGCAUUACACGUUUAUAUAGAAAUAUAGGUUACCUAUCAUGUUGAUAAAAACUAAAUGAGCGAAAACCCAGUAUACGUAAUCGCGUCUACGAAUUGACAAAACUUUGAAAUUUAAAAAAAAAAAUAUUCAUUGUACCAAAAUAUACGCAUGUAUGUAAUUUAAACGAAUUUUAAUAUUUUUAAACAAACGUUCACUUAUUAAGCUAUUAUACCUUUAAAAUUAUACGAAUUUUUACCUUGUUAUUUAUACGAAUAAUUAUAAAUAAAAACCAUACCUACGUUUUGAUAAUAGAUAAUUUAUUAUAAUUAUUUAUAUUAUUUUAACGACCGAAGAUGCAUUAUUUGUAAAAUGUUAUUUUAUCAAACGCUUCAAAAACACACGUGUUUUACUAUUUUUUUUUUUUUUGUUUCAAAAUUUUACGACGAACUUUACCUACCUACGUUUGUCUACGUUUAUUACUAAAUAUUGAAAAACAUGACAUUUUAAAAUUAAAUUACAAUCAAUCAUUUUUCCCCUCCCCCCCUACUACCCCUACGAUAAGCUGUUCAUGUGUAUGUGUACUAUAAAUUAUAAACGACGUAUUUGUAUUCGUUAGAGAACGCGCGAAUAACGCGGAUUCAUUCAUUUGUAAUAGAAUCUUUUUAUAGUCAGCUUUUUAAAUGUAUUAUAUAUUUAUAUUUUAUAAAUAUACCAAAACAAAAAUGCUU
RNA transcript from Planococcus citri (citrus mealybug), 2719 nucleotides. It is a transcript of the gene named misexpression suppressor of KSR 2, with no coding region annotated. NCBI's taxonomy places the organism in Eukaryota, Metazoa, Arthropoda, Insecta, Hemiptera, Pseudococcidae. The record is from RefSeq and is a predicted model, not a curated record. The transcript has 12 exons.